This 219-nucleotide long non-coding RNA is filed under the name Mytilus galloprovincialis (Mediterranean mussel). The record is from RNAcentral. Lineage: Eukaryota; Metazoa; Mollusca; Bivalvia; Mytilida; Mytilidae.
AAAAUCUUUUACAUAAACUAAUUGAUUCAAAUGAAAUAGACACUUAAGUGUUUAGAAAGUGGUCAAAAUUUUUCGUCAGAUGAACCUGAAAUUUGAGGCCAAAAUCGGUUCUUAUCGGACCUACUCCUUUGCCAAUUUCAUAAACAAAAAGAAAUUUAAUCUCAACUAUGAACAAGAAAACAGAUGGGCGCAGAUAAUUUUAGCGCAAAACUACUAGGG